CCUACGGGCGGCAGCAGUGAGGAAUAUUGGUCAAUGGGCGCAAGCCUGAACCAGCCAAGUCGCGUGAGGGAUGACGGUCCUAUGGAUUGUAAACCUCUUUUUUCGGGGAGCAAGGCCCGCCACGUGUGGCGGGAAGGAGAGUACCCGAAGAAAAAGCAUCGGCUAACUCCGUGCCAGCAGCCGCGGUAAUACGGAGGGUGCAAGCGUUACUCGGAAUCACUGGGCGUAAAGAGCGCGUAGGCGGGCGGAUAAGUUAGAGGUGAAAUCCCGAGGCUCAACUUCGGAAUUGCCUCUGAUACUGUUCGGCUAGAGAGUAGUUGCGGUAGGCGGAAUGUCUGGUGUAGCGGUGAAAUGCUUAGAGAUUAUACAGAACACCGAUUGCGAAGGCAGCUUACCAAGCUACUUCUGACGUUGAGGCACGAAAGCGUGGGGAGCAAACAGGAUUAGAUACCCUUGUAGUC
RNAcentral lists this ribosomal RNA (461 nucleotides) under uncultured bacterium. RNAcentral's name for it is "partial 16S ribosomal RNA". It matches the Rfam family "Bacterial small subunit ribosomal RNA", at positions 338 to 795 of the family's 1533-position model. The record is from RNAcentral.